CGCACAUUGCGCCCGCCGGUAUUCUGGCGGGCAUGCCUGUUCGAGCGUCAUUUCAACCCUCGGGCCUGUCCCGGUGUUGGGGCUCCGCUAUUCUGCGGACCCCGAAAAACAGUGGCGGAGCCGCCUAGCUCUCAGCGUAGUAAUCUUUCUCGUUGGGGACGACAGCGGUCGCUUGCCAUGAAACAACCACUAUUUUAAUUGUUUGACCUCGGAUCAGGUAGGAAUACCCGCUGAACUUAA
Molecule: unclassified non-coding RNA, 240 nt
Filed under: Sordariales sp.
Lineage: Eukaryota; Fungi; Ascomycota; Sordariomycetes; Sordariales
Description: partial contains 5.8S ribosomal RNA, internal transcribed spacer 2, and large subunit ribosomal RNA
Source: RNAcentral